RNAcentral lists this ribosomal RNA (254 nucleotides) under uncultured bacterium. RNAcentral's name for it is "partial 16S ribosomal RNA". It matches the Rfam family "Bacterial small subunit ribosomal RNA", at positions 524 to 776 of the family's 1533-position model. The record is from RNAcentral.
UACGUAGGGGGCAAGCGUUUGUCCGGAGUUACUGGGCGUAAAGCGCACGCAGGCGGUCUUUUAAGUUUGGAGUGACAGUUGGUGGCUUAACUGCCAAAGUGCUUCGAAACUGACAGACUUGAGGGCUUCAGAGGGACACGGAAUUCCGGGUGGAGUGGUGAAAUGCGUAGAGAUCCGGAGGAACACCAAAAGGCGAAGGCAGUGUCCUGGGGAGUACCUGACGCUCAGGUGCGAAAGCCAGGGGAGCGAACGGG